RNAcentral lists this ribosomal RNA (490 nucleotides) under uncultured bacterium. RNAcentral describes it as "partial 16S ribosomal RNA". It matches the Rfam family "Bacterial small subunit ribosomal RNA", at positions 30 to 507 of the family's 1533-position model. The record is from RNAcentral.
AUUGAACGCUGGCGGCAGGCCUAACACAUGCAAGUCGAACGGUAACAGGAAGAAGCUUGCUUCUUUGCUGACGAGUGGCGGACGGGUGAGUAAUGUCUGGGAAACUGCCUGAUGGAGGGGGAUAACUACUGGAAACGGUAGCUAAUACCGCAUAACGUCGCAAGCCCAAAGAGGGGGACCUUCGGGCCUCUUGCCAUCGGAUGUGCCCAGAUGGGAUUAGCUAGUAGGUGGGGUAACGGCUCACCUAGGCGACGAUCCCUAGCUGGUCUGAGAGGAUGACCAGCCACACUGGAACUGAGACACGGUCCAGACUCCUACGGGAGGCAGCAGUGGGGAAUAUUGCACAAUGGGCGCAAGCCUGAUGCAGCCACGCCGCGUGUAUGAAGAAGGCCUUCGGGUUGUAAAGUACUUUCAGCGGGGAGGAAGGGAGUAAAGUUAAUACCUUUGCUCAUUGACGUUACCCGCAGAAGAAGCACCGGCUAACUCCGUG